GCAGCAUAUAAUUAUGCGGCUGGGCGUGGCCAGGAGCCAAUUAUGAUGGGGUCGUGGAUAAAAGAGCGGCCCCUCCUACGCCUCCUCCCUCUGUCUCCCGCUGGCGUAAUUUCCGGGACGUCCUGUGUGGCUGCAACAGGGGCUGUGGGUGGAUUCUGGCUCCAUGUGGUCUCCUUGUCUGGUGCGUAUCCUCUCUCGUUGUGCUGGAUCUCUCGUUAUCAGUAGUUUAAUGUAGUGUGGUCACAGGUAAAUGCUGGUAGCGGCUCGCUGCUCUUGCCUCGUCUCACUGGUUGCAUGAACAGGUGCUGUACCAUAAGGUAUGUAGUUCAUUCUUUCUGAGUCUAACCUGUCCUGUGGGGGGAGCGAUCGGGUAUUUAAUUUCCUUUUUGUUUAAGUAGGAUCAAGUCCAUCACCUCCAUUGGCUCCCUUCCGUCUGCAUGACUUCUGCUGCUUUGUCCUGCUUCAAGUUCCUGUCCGUCCGUGCAGCUGUUUCCCGGCUCGGGUUUGGCUGGCUCCGGCGUGCUGCGGUGCUUUGCUGCCGUCCGUCCUAUUGCGCUGGUCGCCCACCUGUGGUUGGGUCGUUCGCCUUCGCCGCGGCUCGUAGCAGCCCGUUCUCGGCUGCCAGCGUCCGCUCUUUUUUUAGGGCUGACGGCCUGUAGUGGUGUGGGUGAUCGUAGGAGAUUCUCCUGUCUGCUGUGCCGUUUCCAGGGAUGUGGGUCGUUCACGGGUGUGCUCUUUUCACGUGUGUCUGGGGGAACUUUUACUUUGGGGACCCCUCCUUUCGCUUGCCCUAGCUACUUUUAGGCCGAAGCCCUUGAUUAACUUUUGUUUUUGCAUUUUCUUUUGUUUGGAUCCUUUGUAUUAAUAAAAUAUUAUUGUGACUAA
Long non-coding RNA from Mugil cephalus (flathead mullet), 885 nucleotides. RefSeq lists it as uncharacterized. The transcript is spliced from 3 exons. The record is from RefSeq and is a predicted model, not a curated record. NCBI's taxonomy places the organism in Eukaryota, Metazoa, Chordata, Actinopteri, Mugiliformes, Mugilidae.